GACGAACGCUGGCGGCGUGCUUAACACAUGCAAGUCGAACGGUAAGGCCCUGCUUUUGUGGGGUGCUCGAGUGGCGAACGGGUGAGUAACACGUGAGUAACCUGCCCUUGACUUUGGGAUAACUUCAGGAAACUGGGGCUCAUACCGGAUAGGAGCUCCUGCUGCAUGGUGGGGGUUGGAAAGUUUCGGCGGUUGGGGAUGGACUCGCGGUUUAUCAGCUUGUUGGUGGGGUAGUGGCUUACCAAGGCUUUGACGGGUAGCCGGCCUGAGAGGGUGACCGGCCACAGUGGGACUGAGAUACGGCCCAGAGUCCUACGGGAGGCAGCAGUGGGGAAUAUUGCACAAUGGGCGGAAGCCUGAUGCAGCAACGCCGCGUGCGGGAUGACGGCCUUCGGGUUGUAAACCGCUUUCGCCUGUGACGAAGCGUGAGUGACGGUAAUGGGUAAAGAAGCACCGGCUAACUACGUG
Molecule: ribosomal RNA, 468 nt
Filed under: uncultured bacterium
Lineage: Bacteria
Description: partial 16S ribosomal RNA
Rfam family: Bacterial small subunit ribosomal RNA
Source: RNAcentral